CAGCAAGCACAGCUUUCUGUGGGCCUUGCUGCGUGCCUGCAAAGCAAAUUUCUACAGCAGUUAUGUACUGCAGUUCUCUGAGAGAUACUGGGGUAUGCAGGAUGCAGAAGAAGGUCUUAGUUUCACUGCACAGUUUGACAGACAGCUGUCAGGUGAGGUUUACGAAAAUGUAUGAACCCAAAGUAUGCCAUGAGGACUCUGGGAUAUCCCCAUCCCUAUAAGACUCUGGAAGAAAUAUAACCAUGGGUCAGAUUCCUCCUGCCCUGCUUGGUACUGGAAUAAAAUGUGUCUUCCACCACCUAACUCGUGGGGCUUCUCACUCAGGCAAAUCUUGCUAUGAUGCUUUCUCUUCAAGAGUGCCACCAUGCAGACAAGAAAGGGAGCCUGGAGCAAGACUACACAUCCCAGUAUGUCCCACACCAUAUGGGAUGGUGCGGGAGACAUCUGCCCAGUGCUUGAUCAGUCGGUUUGGGGAGUGUCUCCCAGCUGCACUCCUGACGCUCCUCUCUUGUGGCCUACUAUUUUUCUGUUGUUUUUCAUGUUGCAGUGUCAUCCUCCAGAGGCACUUACAGCUUUAUAUGUUUACUUUCCACCUUUCCCACCCUUUGUGGGGCAUUGUCACCCAACAGAAGUCUGGAAAAAAGAAGGUCAUUGAAGGCCAGAUGGAAGAUUUCCCUGAUAUCGGUAGCAGCAAGCAUAAUAAGAGACUUGGCUUUAACUUCUGCAGUACAGCAGAGGAACCUUCUGAAAUGGAGAUGGUUUUAGCAGCACAAGAAUUGUCCUUGGCAUGCAAGCCCAUGAACUAUACUCACUCUUUUUGGUAUGAUUGAGAAGAAACUGGAGAUGGAAGCAUACUCUGUGACCUGGAACAGCUGGUGGUACCAUGAAAGGAAGUGAUAUUGGGACUCAUAGCUGUUGGAGUGGGUUUGUACUGAGGCCAGAGCUGCUGUGCAGAUCUGCUCACAAGCUGGAAAAACAACCAGUGGGCCUAUUAUUACUGUUAUUAUUGGAGAGGGUAAGAAAAAGGCAUAUGUCCAUUUCAGAGCUUAAAAGCAUUAACAAUCUCCAUAAUAUGCAGUGCUGUUCUUGCUGACAUGAUUAGUUUUCAAAAGAGUCUGCAUGAUCAUCAGAUUUUGAAAAUAUAAGAAAUUAUUUCCUAGAAACCUUCCUUUACAAAAUUGGUUAGUUAAAUGUUGUGUAAAUUAUACUCCUGUUGUUUUAAUCCACGGGCUAUUAGCAGACAUUGGGGUAUCACAGUAAUGCUGUGCACAGAGAAUCAAUUUAUGAUUAUCCUGUACUGUUUUUCAAUGACCUGAAAUUGUGCACUGAACAGGAACAUAUAUUGUUUUAAUUAUCUUGGUCACACUCUCAGCUUUAUAAAACUUGCUGCAGGUUCAUCAACUCAGAUCCAGGUAUAAUUCAUAUUGGUCACAAGAAUAUUAUUUAAGAAUAUAAUGGCACC
Molecule: long non-coding RNA, 1462 nt
Organism: Gallus gallus (chicken)
Lineage: Eukaryota; Metazoa; Chordata; Aves; Galliformes; Phasianidae
Source: Ensembl